GAUGAAGAACGUAGCAAAAUGCGAUACUUGGUGUGAAUUGCAGAAUCCCGUGAACCAUCGAGUUUUUGAACGCAAGUUGCGCCUCAAGCCAUUAGGUUGAGGGCACGUCUGCCUGGGCGUCACAUAUCGUUGCCUGAUGCCAGUUUCCUCGUGAUGGGUGACUGUGCAGGGCGAAUGAUGGCUUCCCGUGAGCAUUGUUGCCUCAUGGUUGGUUGAAAAUUGAGUCCUUGGUAGGGAGCGCCGUGAUAGAUGGUGGUUGAGUGACGAACGAGACCCAAUCAUGUGAGACCCCUACCGAAUUUGGCCUUCAUGACCCACAUGCGUCUUUGGAACGCUCAUGACGAGACCUCAGGUCAGGCGGGGCUACCCGCUGAGUUUAAGCAUAUCAAUAAGCGGAGGA
This 400-nucleotide unclassified non-coding RNA is filed under the name soil metagenome. RNAcentral's name for it is "partial contains 5.8S ribosomal RNA, internal transcribed spacer 2, and large subunit ribosomal RNA". The stretch from base 1 to 122 matches the Rfam family "5.8S ribosomal RNA", at positions 35 to 154 of the family's 154-position model. The record is from RNAcentral.